RNAcentral lists this ribosomal RNA (808 nucleotides) under Enterococcus sp. TATAC-16. RNAcentral describes it as "bacterial SSU rRNA". It matches the Rfam family "Bacterial small subunit ribosomal RNA", at positions 13 to 796 of the family's 1533-position model. Lineage: Bacteria; Bacillati; Bacillota; Bacilli; Lactobacillales; Enterococcaceae. The record is from RNAcentral.
UUGAUCCUGGCUCAGGACGAACGCGGCGGCGUGCCUAAUACAUGCAAGUCGAACGCUUUUUCUUUCACCGGAGCUUGCUCCCCCCGAAAGAAAAAAGAGUGGCGAACGGGUGAGUAACACGUGGGUAACCUGCCCAUCAGAAGGGGAUAACACUUGGAAACAGGUGCUAAUACCGUAUAACACUAUUUUCCGCAUGGAAGAAAGUUGAAAGGCGCUUUUGCGUCACUGAUGGAUGGACCCGCGGUGCAUUAGCUAGUUGGUGAGGUAACGGCUCACCAAGGCAACGAUGCAUAGCCGACCUGAGAGGGUGAUCGGCCACACUGGGACUGAGACACGGCCCAGACUCCUACGGGAGGCAGCAGUAGGGAAUCUUCGGCAAUGGACGAAAGUCUGACCGAGCAACGCCGCGUGAGUGAAGAAGGUUUUCGGAUCGUAAAACUCUGUUGUUAGAGAAGAACAAGGAUGAGAGUAAAAUGUUCAUCCCUUGACGGUAUCUAACCAGAAAGCCACGGCUAACUACGUGCCAGCAGCCGCGGUAAUACGUAGGUGGCAAGCGUUGUCCGGAUUUAUUGGGCGUAAAGCGAGCGCAGGCGGUUUCUUAAGUCUGAUGUGAAAGCCCCCGGCUCAACCGGGGAGGGUCAUUGGAAACUGGGAGACUUGAGUGCAGAAGAGGAGAGUGGAAUUCCAUGUGUAGCGGUGAAAUGCGUAGAUAUAUGGAGGAACACCAGUGGCGAAGCGGCUCUCUGGUCUGUAACUGACGCUAAGCUCGAAGCGUGGGGACGAACAGGAUUAGAUACCCUGGUNGUCA